Octopus sinensis (East Asian common octopus) is the source of this 1225-nucleotide long non-coding RNA. RefSeq lists it as uncharacterized. The record is from RefSeq and is a predicted model, not a curated record. The transcript is spliced from 2 exons. NCBI's taxonomy places the organism in Eukaryota, Metazoa, Mollusca, Cephalopoda, Octopoda, Octopodidae.
UGCUCGAGCAUGGCCCCAGUCAAAUUGCUGAAACGAGUAAAAGAAUACACACACACACACCACACACGUGUGUGUGUGUGCGUAUGUGUAGACGGCCUCGUGGAGUCAAUGAUCAUCGCUCGUUUAGUUAGGACCGCAACGAAGUUUCGUUCCUCGAUCAAACCAGAUUCACUACUCCAACACACUACUUAUGUCGCGUUCCCCACAACCCUUUAUGUUUUUUCCACUCCUCCGUUCGAAGGAUGCAUUCAGCUAACCACUGGAUGUACCACCAAAAAGUCAAGGCUAGAAAUAGUCUUGGAGUUAAUUACUUUGGGCGUUCUUUCGGUCUGUGAUCACAAACGUGAAAGAGAAGCUGUCGGCAUUAAAAUUUUGAAAAAAAAAAAAAAAAAAAAAAAAAAAAAAGAAUAAAAAAAUAUUCAAAACUGUGAUAUCCGUACUUUUAAAUGUGGAAUUCCUGCGCUCCACCCCUCAAAAAAAUUAAUUAAUUUAAUUAAAUUAGAAAGUUAAAAACAAGAAAGUUGAAGUGGGUGGGAAUUAAAAAUGUGUAGAUUUGUCUUUUUGCGGGCGUUUUUGGCAAAAGUCAUAAUUUCCGUUAUUUGAAGUCAUAAAUAUCCAAAGAAAUGUUUGUAUGCACACGCAUAUACACAGACACACCACACACACACAUAAACACAUACCACAUCACACACACACACACACACAUAUAGGCGCGACUGUUUUAGCUGAGACGCUUGCUUCACAAUCAUGUGGUCUUUGGUUCAGUCCCAAUACGCGGCAUCUUGGGUAAGUAUAGCCUCGGGCCAACCAAGGCCUUGUGUGUGGAUUUGAUUGAUAGAAGCUAAAAGAAGACCGUCGUAUGUGUGUGUGUGGGGAGGUGUAUGUGUGUCCUUAACCGCUCGACAACCAGUGUUGGUUUGUUUGCGUCCCCGUAACGUAGCGAUUCACCAAAUGAGAAUGACAAUAAAUACCAAGCUUAAAAAAAAUAACUUCUGGUGUCGAUUUGUUUGGUUAAAUCCUUCAAGGCGGUGCCCCAGCACGGCCGCAGUCCAGUGACAAAAACAAGUAAAAAGAAAUAAUAAUAAAAAAAAAAGCGGUGUGUUGUGCCUAUUCGACAAGUCCACCCGGAUAUCGGUGGAAUAUUGAUCAUAAGCCGAGUGAAUACCAAUCAAUGUGAAAUGCGAAAGAAAGCGGUCAGCUGGCAGAGUUGUUAAAGCGCCGAAGA